Molecule: long non-coding RNA, 516 nt
Filed under: Androctonus crassicauda
Lineage: Eukaryota; Metazoa; Arthropoda; Arachnida; Scorpiones; Buthidae
Source: RNAcentral
UGAUGAUUUAUUUUAUUAAAAUUCUAGAAUGCACAAUAACAAAUGUUCCAACAUAGAACAUUUUAAAUAUGUUCUGUAAUGAUUAUAAUAUUAUUGAAGAUGGGGUAUACUGAAAACAUUAUAGUUAAUAAAAUAUUUUUAUAUGUUAAAACUGCUAAUAGGUGCUAGAAUUUAUUGGAUGUUUCUGUACUCAACCAGUUCAACACCACUGGUGACCAUGAACCAAAUUGACUAGUCCGUGCUGAAAUAGUGCUGGAUAUUCAACAUGAAAGAAAAUGCUAAUAUAACAGGACAAAAGAUCAACUUGAUAGAGCUUAAGAUCAAGAAGGAAGAAUACAGCCUAAAGUUGCAGAACAGAUUCCAAGUGCUUGCAAAACAGAAAAGCAACUUACAGAAGACAUACAAUAGGACAAUGAAAAUCAUCAGAGACAGUGUAGAGGAAGUCACAAGAACUCAACCAAGAAAUUCCAUCAAGAAAAUAUUCACCAAAACAUAGGAACUGAUCGAAAAGAGAAG